AACACAGUGUCUCUUUAGAACAUAUUUAUUUCUGCCAGGCUAGUCAGAUAAGCCCUGGCCCCGACUCUCGCCUUCACCCUUGUGACACUGGCCAAAGCUUUCCUGGGCACAUCUUCCCACCCUUUCUAAAGCUCCUCUCCAGUCCUUCUCAACAUGACUGCUUGUCCUGUGGGCACUUGCAAAUAGCAUAGCUGUUUCUCUUCCUCUUUUCCGUCUUCCUACAGCUUGCCUACCUGUUGUUUUUCCUCUUAAACUCUAAUAAAAUUGUCCCCAAGCUUCCUUUUGAUUUUAUUUACUUUUUAUUAAUGAAGCCAAGAACCCCAAAUUUCUUCAGUGACAUGGCCACAUUGAAUAAUUUUUUUUCCUUUUUGCUAUUAUGUGUUUAAUUGGCCUAACAAGGACGGGUUGCAAAAAUUGGUAGCUAUUUGGGGUUCACUCAAGCUAUGACCCUAAUGACAGAUGUAAGGCCUGGGUGAAGGUAAAGACGUCCCCCUGCUUAGGGCUUUUUUAAAUAAAAGAAAUUUCCUUGGAACAGUGCAUAACAUCUUACCCCUCAGUGGCCAACUUUGGUGUGUGGUGGUUUGAAUGAGAACGGCCCCCACAGACUUGAACACUUGAAUGUUUGGUCCCCAGCUGGUGAAGUUGUUUGGGAAGGACUAGAAAAUGUAGCCGUGGAGGAGGAGGUGUGUGGGGUGCAGGCUUUGGUUUCAAGAGAGUUAUGCCUUUCCCACGGUCUCUCUGUCUCCUUGCAUAUCGAGAUGUGAGCUCUCAGCUACUGCUCCAGUGCCAUGGCUACCAGCUGUUAUGCUCGCGCCAUGAUGGUCAUGAGCUCUGACCUCUCAAUCCUUGGGCGACAGAUAAACUCUCUUCUAUGCUGAUUGCUGAGCUGGGAAGAACCUUGCCUCUGAUCUGCAGCAGCCUAGGAUUUUGACAGUGGAACAGGAUUCUAGAACAGAGUCCACUUCCUGUAGAGAAAUGAGUUGACAUGAAUGACAAGAGCUAUGGUGGAGGAUGCUCUGUCAUCUGUAUCUUUCACCUACUAGCGUGAUGGGAAGAACCUGGUCCAGAUCCAUAUGCCUUUGCCCUGACUCUGGUGGCUGGAAGGCAUCUUUGGCUUUUCUGAGCUUAUGGAAGCUCUGCCCAAGCCCUGCCUUUGGAUUUACACUGUACUGCCCUUGCCAGGGUAUGCCUGUGUCCAAACAACCUUCUGUCUGGGGACAGUGUGGCAUCACAGCCCACUCCAGUGACCUCAAUUUAAGCUGCCAGGACCUUAUUCCCAAAUCUGGUCUCAUCUUGAAGCACUGCAGCUAGAAUUUCAGCACAGUUGCUCUGCUUCCUUCUCCCCAUGUCUGUGUUAAGAGCAGGCUCAGCAAACCUACAGCUGCACCACAGAAGGGAAUAAUAAAGACCAGUCAAUGCAU
RNAcentral lists this long non-coding RNA (1421 nucleotides) under Mus pahari (shrew mouse). RNAcentral's name for it is "predicted gene 14280 (MGP_PahariEiJ_G0003355.1)". The record is from RNAcentral. Lineage: Eukaryota; Metazoa; Chordata; Mammalia; Rodentia; Muridae.